Molecule: RNA transcript, 1599 nt
Organism: Setaria italica (foxtail millet)
Lineage: Eukaryota; Viridiplantae; Streptophyta; Magnoliopsida; Poales; Poaceae
Gene name: linoleate 9S-lipoxygenase 2
Exons: 3
Source: RefSeq, a predicted model, not a curated record
UACCAGGUGGUGUUAUUGCCCGGUACUAAAAGCCUCUCCACGAGUCAAUCUGUGCUAAGCAACGUAGUAGCAGGCUAGCAGCUAGGCACUAGGUGAAGCGAAGAUGUUCGGAGGGAUCAUCGGGGGUCUGACCGGGAACAAGAAUGGCCGGCUCAACGGCUCGGUGGUGCUCAUGCGCAAGAGCGUCCUCGGCUUUGACGUCACCAGCAUGGGCGCCACCGUCAUCGACAACAUCGGCGAGUUCCUCGGCCGCGGCAUCACCUGCCAGCUCAUCAGCUCCCCCGUCGUCGACCCAAACAACGGCAACCGCGGCAAGGUGUGCGCGGAGGCGAGCCUGGAGCAGUGGCUGACGUCCCUGCCGUCGCUGACAUCCAGCGAGUCCAAGUUCGGCGUGACGUUCGAGUGGGAGGUGGAGAAGCUGGGCGUGCCGGGCGCCAUCAUCGUAAAGAACAACCACGCCUCCGAGUUCUUCCUCAAGACCAUCACCCUCGACGACGUCCCCGGCCGCGGCACCAUCGUCUUCGUCGCCAACUCAUGGGUCUACCCGCAGUCCAAGUACCGCAAAGACGGAAGCGCCAUGGCCAUGCGCAGCCGCGCAGGUCGUGGCCACACCGGGUCGGAUUAAUCGCGAACCAAUAUUUCUCAGAAUUUCCCCGCACAAUUUUACAUAAAGCCCCCUAAAUUGAAUCGCGAUCAAUAGUGCGAUCCAAUUUAAGGGGUUUUAUGUAAUCGCGAUCCAAAUAUUUACGUAAAGACCCCUCCUCCUAGCUGUCCCUAUGGCUACGCCUUCCCGUCCGUCGCCGGCGACGGCCGCCUCGUCGUGGUAAAUUGACUUCCACUUCUCCUCCAGCUCCCACCCCCCUCCUUCCCUGCUGGACAUCCCGCUGCCCCGUCCCCCUCUUUCCCCGCCGGAUAUCCCGCUGCCGCAUCCGCACGCACACCCCUCCUGUAUCGUGUAGAGCCGCCGCUGCGUCCCUCCUCCUCCAGCUCUCCCGUCCUCUCGAGUCGAAACGGGCGCGCAACGGCCGAGGGGUCAGAGAUGUGCCAGCCGUGAGACGUUGGACUAACCGAUCGCCGGCGUUCGUGAACCGGCGACUUGAGGCGCGGCGGCGUUGGAGUGUCCGCCGAAUUGGGACAUCUCCCAUUCACCUGCGAAUGGAAGGGGCAAAAUGGAAGGGAAAGAAGAGCUCCCAAGAUUCUGUCAUCAUCCGUUGCAGAUAAGCUAUCAUAUGAAUUUGGGCAAUCGCUGAUUAGCCAUCACCUGUUUCUCCAUAUUUUCGGGUGACUGAGUAUUUGGCUAGAGGGCAGAGUUGGGUCACAGUUUCCUUCAAGAAGAAUACUACAGUUUAACACCAUGACGAAUAUGCUGAGCAAAGACAAGACAAAGCUAGUCAUUGUCAUUCCAGGAUGAAAGGCAGACAGGAUUGCAUAUGGUAGAUUAAUAUCCAUUCCUCGAAGGACAAUGCUAAUAUUUGAGGUGUACAUCACCAAAGUCUCACAAGGAUUUUUUUUUUUUAUGAAAAAAACUGAUAGGUCAAGAAUGGAGAAAAAAAAUUCUCGAAAGAACUAUGAAAAAAAUUAUAUUGAGCAGUACAAUUU